Unclassified non-coding RNA from Macaca fascicularis (crab-eating macaque), 147 nucleotides. It matches the Rfam family "Metazoan signal recognition particle RNA". Rfam says of the family: The signal recognition particle (SRP) is a universally conserved ribonucleoprotein. It is involved in the co-translational targeting of proteins to membranes. The eukaryotic SRP consists of a 300-nucleotide 7S RNA and six proteins: SRPs 72, 68, 54, 19, 14, and 9. NCBI's taxonomy places the organism in Eukaryota, Metazoa, Chordata, Mammalia, Primates, Cercopithecidae. The record is from Ensembl.
GCUGGGCGCGGUGGCGCGUGCCUGUAAUCCCAGCUACUCAGGAGGCUGAGGCAGGAGAAUAGCUUGAACCAGGGAGUUGGAGGCUGCAGUGAGCCAAGAUUGUGCCACUGCACUCCAGCCUGGUGACAGAGCGAGACUCCGUCUCAA